Steccherinum ochraceum is the source of this 80-nucleotide non-coding RNA. Lineage: Eukaryota; Fungi; Basidiomycota; Agaricomycetes; Polyporales; Steccherinaceae. The record is from the annotation of a GenBank genome assembly.
GGCCGCCUGGCGAAAUGGCAUCGCGUCUGACUACGACUCGAGUAAUCAGGAGAUUGCAGGUUCGACCCCUGCGGUGGUCA